AGCCAGGUGACAAAUAUGUGUACCAUAUACAUUUAAUAUAUCUAUCCCUUUAUUACACUGAAUACCUGUUUUUCUUCUCUUUCCAGGAUCCCAGAGUCCAAAGAUUCCAACAAAGCACUCAAAUGGAUCCCAGAGUCCAAAGAUUCCAACAAAGCACUCAAAUGAAACUUUUUGGGAGAACGGAUCACCUAAAAGAAACCGGAUUCCAUAUUUUAUAUUGCUUUUGAUAAAUGUUUAUCAGUGCGGUUGCCGUGGAGAUGGAGUUGGGAUUCCGUGAAUAUGCUGGUUGUUCCGGCCGCUGGUUGGCGAGACACAAAGAGAGGUUGGCGGAAGUUGCAAUCAAUAGAGGCUCCAUGUAUGGAGCCCGCGACUGCACCUCCGGAAGUGAUGCACCGGAGUGUGUGUCUAUUAGUUUACUAGUACUAAUGGGAAUGUCAUUCCAACCAAGGAAGUGACGCCUUUGGUUGGCAUAGAUGACAUCUAGUAACACUAUACACAAUUAGACCGCAAUUGCGGAAGUGACGUAUCGGGAAGCGGACCUAUCGGGUAAUGGAUUCUGUGCUAGGAUUGGAGAAUUCUAUCACCACGGCAACCGAAGGGUUAUUUGAAAUGGGAUUAUCAGCUGUCUAUAAUAAAAUUAUCAGGAUUCCUAUUGGUUGGACUUUAGUAUAAGGAGAAGGAUCAGCAUACCGUCCCUUACUUCACCUUGAAAAAGACCCGCAGCAUCGCGGGUGAAAACUCGUCGGUCUAGAAGGGACGGAAUUUGGACUACAAAGCUCCUGUGCUCUAUCAUUUGUACAGCUGUGAUUACCAGCAUUGGUUUCCAGUGGUCUUUUCCGGAGAGACGUUGGGUGACUUUAUACAACUUGCUGUUUUGAGAGCUGUUAAACAUCAGUUCUCAAACCUAUUGGUAAUUAUUUUGGCUUCAUAUGUAUAGAAGGACUCAGGAGAGAUUUCUAUGUGUUUGGAUGUUACUUCAUG
Pseudophryne corroboree (corroboree frog) is the source of this 981-nucleotide long non-coding RNA. RefSeq lists it as uncharacterized. Lineage: Eukaryota; Metazoa; Chordata; Amphibia; Anura; Myobatrachidae. The transcript has 3 exons. The record is from RefSeq and is a predicted model, not a curated record.